AUCUAAAUAGCUUAUUAGUUAGAGCGUGACACUGAAGAUGUCAAGGAAGUAUUUUUUGCUUUUAGGUA
RNAcentral lists this transfer RNA (68 nucleotides) under Cyrtacanthacris tatarica. RNAcentral describes it as "tRNA-Phe". It matches the Rfam family "tRNA". From Rfam's summary of the family: Transfer RNA (tRNA) molecules are approximately 80 nucleotides in length. Their secondary structure includes four short double-helical elements and three loops (D, anti-codon, and T loops). Further hydrogen bonds mediate the characteristic L-shaped molecular structure. tRNAs have two regions of fundamental functional importance: the anti-codon, which is responsible for specific mRNA codon recognition, and the 3' end, to which the tRNAs corresponding amino acid is attached (by aminoacyl-tRNA synthetases). tRNAs cope with the degeneracy of the genetic code in two manners: having more than one tRNA (with a specific anti-codon) for a particular amino acid; and 'wobble' base-pairing, i.e. permitting non-standard base-pairing at the 3rd anti-codon position. The record is from RNAcentral. Lineage: Eukaryota; Metazoa; Arthropoda; Insecta; Orthoptera; Acrididae.